UGCCAGACUCCUACGGGAGGCAGCAGUGAGGAAUAUUGGUCAAUGGGCGGGAGCCUGAACCAGCCAAGCCGCGUGAAGGAAGAAGGCGCCAGGCGUCGUAAACUUCUUUUGUCGGGGAACAAAGGGCGCCACGCGUGGCGUUGUGAGUGUACCCGAAGAAAAAGCAUCGGCUAACUCCGUGCCAGCAGCCGCGGUAAUACGGAGGAUGCGAGCGUUAUCCGGAUUUAUUGGGUGUAAAGGGCGUGUAGCCGGGCUGACAAGUCAGAUGUGAAAUCCGGGGGCUCAACCCCCGAACUGCAUUUGAAACUGUUGGUCUUGAGUAUCGGAGAGGCAGGCGGAAUUCCUAGUGUAGCGGUGAAAUGCGUAGAUAUCAGGAGGAACACCGGUGGCGAAGGCGGCCUGCUGGACUGCGACUGACGUUGAGGCCCGAAAGCGUGGGGAGCAAACAGGAUUAGAUACCCCCGUAA
This 467-nucleotide ribosomal RNA is filed under the name uncultured bacterium. Its description in RNAcentral is "bacterial SSU rRNA". It matches the Rfam family "Bacterial small subunit ribosomal RNA", at positions 329 to 793 of the family's 1533-position model. The record is from RNAcentral.